RNAcentral lists this transfer RNA (67 nucleotides) under Hamaxiella brunnescens. RNAcentral describes it as "tRNA-Ser". Lineage: Eukaryota; Metazoa; Arthropoda; Insecta; Diptera; Tachinidae. The record is from RNAcentral.
AGUUAAUGAACUUGAAUAAGUAUAUGUUUUGAAAACAUAAAAUAGAAAUUAAAUUUUCUAUUAACUU